UUACUCUCUUUGGCAGCACAUAUACUGAAAUUGGAACGAUGCAGAGAAGAUUAGUAUGGCCCCUGCGUAAGGAUGACACGCAAAAUCGUGAAGCGUUCCGCAUUUUU
Molecule: small nuclear RNA, 107 nt
Filed under: Leptinotarsa decemlineata (Colorado potato beetle)
Lineage: Eukaryota; Metazoa; Arthropoda; Insecta; Coleoptera; Chrysomelidae
Source: RNAcentral